CUCAAUUAAUUAAAUAUUCUAUUUCUUUUUUUUUUUUGAACAAAAAACCCUAUUUCUUUAACUCUUCAACUUUACAUUUAGGGUUUCAUCCUAUUACUUAGCCAAAAAACCCAGCCGAACACAUCCCUCUUCUUCUUCUUCCUCUCUUUGCUUUUGAAAGUUGAUGACCUCCUGCGCACGAACCACCUCCAAGACGACGAAGCAACGACCAUCCCUACCCUCCCAAGGCCCAUCGACGCCGGACGACAGACGGACUGGAACCCCAAGCGAUCUUCUGCCUCACCGGACUUCAUAACCUUCUCCUCCGACGUUAUUGACCCACGGGCCUUUGUAACCUUCUCUAGGUAGAGGACAUUUUGGUUUGUGGAUGGAGCUUCGGGGUUCAUUGUCUAGGUGGACUAAAAUUGUUAUCUGAUUUGUAUUUUCAUGUUUUAUGUUUAGGUUUCUAAUAUUUUUGGACAUGUUUUACCCAAUUCUGUGUUCAUACCUACUGGAUUAUAAAUAUUGCAGUUAAGAAUUUUGUAUUGUAUUUUUUGUUAAAAUUUUGGUUUAAUGUUGUAAUUCACAUUUUAAUUUCCUUUCUUUAAAAAGGGAUGUAAUAAUAAUUAUGUGUUUAUUUCAUUA
Molecule: long non-coding RNA, 624 nt
Organism: Cannabis sativa
Lineage: Eukaryota; Viridiplantae; Streptophyta; Magnoliopsida; Rosales; Cannabaceae
Exons: 2
Source: RefSeq, a predicted model, not a curated record